CACGGCGGAUGCGCAGAGGCUGUCGGACUCUGACUGCGCGGAGACCGCUGGACUCUGGUCGCGGCCUUAGUCCGCUGAUCCUCGCUUGGGUGCCCGCCCUUAGCGGCCCGGCGUUGAAUUCCGGGAAGUGGGAGCUUCAGGCUCGCUCCGUGCGGGUAUGGGCGCUAAUGUCACUUGGGAUGGUUGCGCAAGGACAUCGCGGCGGACACUGACAAGGAACCGGGGAGGAACGGGGGUGGGGAGAGACUGCGAUGGGACUCGGGAAGCCGGGAAGGGCCGCGCUGAAUAAGCCUAAGGGGCCGGGUCGCAAGGAGUGUCGGGUAGCACAGGCCUCGGCUCAGUCGGAGCGCCAGGCCUCAGGGUCCGGGCGGGGGCUGCUGCGUCACACCAGGCAGCCUGGGAACGCAACUGUUGGGCAACCGUGGUGGCCUCUCGCCACCUCUUACGCUUGGGCGAUCUGCGAUUGACGCAUCCUGGGAGCUGAUGUCCCGCACGGGCGGGGCGCCGGAGGAGGAGAGAAAAUAGAGACCCGGUUGUUGACAGCCUGUGAUGCCGCUUGAUUCAUGUGUGGGUGGCCUGGUUUAGAAAUGUACCACCCUUCCUUUCUAGGUUCCUCCCCGGAGGGCGGGGUGACGGGUGCGGCGCCGAAUCGCAACAAAAAACGCUGCUCGAGGGAUGUUAGUAACUGUCUCAGCUUAAGUUGCUGCCUUUUAGCUUACAGUUUGUAUCGUAACUGUAAUUGUGGAUCUUAGUUAAAUCCCUUCAGUGUGUUGGAAACAUAUUUUUAAGUGUAUUUUUGAAACAUACUUAGAGCAUUUUGAAAUGCUUUUUUGAAAGCGUUUUUUAAAUCAAAAUUCUGUUACACUUUAUUUUUUUCAGUCUGCAGAUGAACUUGACUCACUCAAGGUUAAUGAUUUUUGUUUUUUAUUUAUGUUUGUAGAGGCGGGGUUUUGUCAUGUUGCUAGGUUGGUGUUGAACUCCUGAGCUCGAGCGAUCCACCUGCCACUGCCUUCCAAAGUGCUGGAAUUACAGGCGUGAGCCACGGCGCCCGGUGGCCGAGGUUAAUAAUAAUUAAAAGUUUCUAAUCCCAUUGUUCAGUUAUUUGAUUUGGUGUAAAGGCGCACUUUCCAAGUCAGAUGAGUUUGUGGUAACAUACAUUCCCCAAAUAAUUAUUUUUCCCUUGUGGGAAAUAUUCCAGUUUUAGGCUACCAGCUGUUUAAACAGUUUGGUUCAAAUCCUUCAAAAAAAUCUCAAAACAUAACUCCACAUAUGUAUUUACUACAUAUUGAAGGGUGUAUUCACUUGGAGAAGUAGGAGAAAGCAAACAGAUGCCAAUGGCCUUUUUGAAAACAUGUAUCUAUCAGCAAUAAUUGAAUAGCAAAACGAAGUGGAACACUACCAUCCUUUGCAAUAUUAGAUAGUUUUAAUACUGGGUUGUGAGGAAUGAAAAGAUCAUACAAAUCGUCAUUUCUGAAGUCAUUUCUGAAGUCGUCAUUUCUGAACUGAGUGCUAAUUUUUCAUAUUAAGCUUUAUGUUAAUAUCCUUAAUGAGAGGAACUUCCUGUGCCCGUAAUUUCUCCAGAGAAACUAUUAACAUACACAGAAUGUUGUAAUCAGAAGUAUAGUUCAGUUAAUAAAGUCCUCAAUUACAACUCUGACAUUUUGUCAUUGUCUUAUGAAAAGAAUUACUGUAUAUACAGUCUAUUUUACGUUUUCCGGAAGCACGUCAGGCAGGUUUUUUGUUUUUUUACUACUAAUUGUGCCAUUGAAUAUGCUAUUCUGUCGUAUUGUGCCAUCAAACAUGCUAUUCGAAAAAAGAUCUUGCCCAAUUUGUAAUAAAAUAUUGAACAUUGGAGAUUUAGAUUUCGAGUAAAAUCAUACUUUAUUGCUUUGCAGAAGUACACAGUAGGUGGAAAAUUGCAACAAUCUUGCCAGUUCAUUUUUUAAAAAGCGUGUAGGUAAUCCAAAGAUACCUUUUUGAUGAUUUGUUAUCAACAUAGUUAAAUUUGCAGUGUCACUUUAUUUGAAUAAACUAGCUUUAUCUCUACUUAGUGGUACUAAAACAAUAGCCAAACAGUUGAUAAUCUCAACACAUGACUAACGAAAAAUUCCACAUAAUUAACAUUAACCAGGAGGUUUUUGUUACUAUUUAAUUUCUCAUUUUUAAAAUUUCAUAUUCUUUGGAAAGAAUAUUACUUUUCCGGAAUCUAAGACAGCAUUUUGUGGGUCCUUAAUUGUGAUAUGCUUUACUAGGUAAAGUACUAAAUGGGUAUCCUUAGGUGGGGAUAGGCUGGGAACCACAUAUCCAGAAUUGUGAAAUAUAUAACAUAAACAGGAUAACUUGCUCCUUUGUUAGCUUUUUGGAUGCCAGGGUUAAGAUUUUAAUUCCAUAAUUAUGUCCUUGUUGCCUGGAGGAUUUGCAUAUGAGAAACCACAAAAACAAUCGGGACAUUAUUAAAAUACCCUAGAAUCUCAACCUGUGACAGUAUUUCCCAUGUCCUUGCAAAACCAGAGGAAGUCUUUCCAAUAUGAUUCUUAAAUUUACAAAGUCCUCUGAAUAGAAACCAUGAAAUCCUAAGUCAUCUUCUAGUGAAGAUUUGCUGUACAUUUUCUGUUUUCCUAAUAAGAAAUUAGAGGAGUUUAGUUCCCAGUGUUGGGCAAGGGAUAGGACUCAGUCACCUGGAAAGUUCUUUUGUAACUACACGUGCCUGACACUCCUAUUCUUCCCCUCUGCUGAUAUGCAGAAUUUCUAGGUUCUAGGUAGUAUUUGGGAAGUUUCCCAGAUUAUUCUGAUAUCUACCAGCGGCUCAUCCACCUUCUUUAUGGUCACUGUAUUUGGGGAUUUUGAAUGAUAAAUUCUUGAAUCACUAAAAGCUAAAUUUCAAACAGAAAAUUGUUAGAGAUGAUACUAAGAGGCAAGUAUGUAUAAAAUCUAAUAGGCAUUGAAGAAGAUACAAAGAUUCCAUCCUCUACUGAAAAAUUAAGUGUGCACGCAGAGUAAGAAAGAAGGUUAAGUAGCCAACCUCAAAAAUAUUUAAAAAUUAUUGCAUUGAUGCUGUAUCACUCAUUUCCUUGCCCAGAUUCUUUUUUUUUUUUUUUUUUUUUGAGACAGAGUCUCACUUUGUCACCCAGGCUGGAGUGCAGUGGUGCUAUCUCAUUUCACUGCAAUCUCCGCUUUCUGGGUUCAAGUGAUUCUCAUGCCUCAGCCUUCCAAGUAGCUGGGACUACAGGCACGCGCCACCACACCCAGCUAAUUUUGUGUACUUUUAGUAGAGACUGGGUUUCACCAUGUUGGCAAGGCUGGUGUCAAACUCCUGACCUCAGGUGAUCUGCCUGCUUCAGCCUCCCAAAGUGCUGGGAUUACAGGUGUGAGCCACCAUGCCCAGCCCUUGCCCAGAUUCUUUAUUCACUGCUGUCCAAAUACUGUUGGUCCUCUGUACCUGCAGGGAUUUGCAGGUACAGAGGCUCAACUAUAAGGGACUUGAGCAUCCCCAGGUUUUGGUAAAUGGGGGUCCUGGAACUAAUUCUCUGCAGAUACUGAGGGACAAACGGUACCACUCAUUUUAAUGCAGAAAUUUUGUAUUCAUCCUUUCUUUUUAACUCCCACUACCGGGCUUAGUUUAGGCCUCUAUUUUCUCUAUCUUUCCCUUCAGCUUAUCCUUUAGGUUUCCUUCAAACUUGAAAUCUAACUAAAUCAGUCCCCUGUUAUAUACCACAUAUAUUUGUAAACUAAACAUAUAUGAAGAUGUAUGUACAUAUCAUAUAUUCCUAGUAUUUUAGUUACUUAAUUUUUUCACAGACUAAUCUCAGUAUUGCCUCUCAUCAUUCCUAAUGGACACUUGGUACUCUAGACACUUCUUCAGGUCACUGGAAAGGUAUCUCUCAUUGUAAGUGGAUAUAACCCAUUUAUCUUAUGGGUCAGUCUUUCAUAAGUUCGUUUAAGUAAAUGCUCAAGAACUGUUGAGUACCUUGACACAAUUGUGCUGACAACCUAUAAGACUUGUCAGAAAACUCUCUGACCUCCCUUUUAGGACAUGGAAUUGAGUAUUCUGUAAGUGCGGCAUGUCAUUGUAUCACAAUAUAGCAUUUGUUUCCAUACUACAUUGUGAGGUCCUUGAGCAAAGAGUACUGUGCCCCAGUGCAUUGUAUUGAUAUUCAUUCAAUACAAAUGUAAGAAUGUAUUACAUACCAGACAUUCUGCUGAGGGUAGGGAGGGAUUAUAAUACAGCAAAAACUAACACUUUCAAAGUUAAAGCCUAGUUCAGGACACAGUCACACUAUAAAAUGACAACUUAGAAAAAUAGUAUGAAGAGACAUACGGUGCUGUGAGAAUCCAUAAUAAAGAACCCUAGUCAGAAAAGUCUCAAGGAAGUGACGUGAUCGUUGUGGUCUAGAGCUGAAGAAUUAAUAUGAAUUAGGUAGGCAAGAAAGGGAAGUACAAGAGCUGCUUUCUGGGUAAAAGAAACAACAUGGGCAAAGAUUCUGGGGUCAGAGAGAUCACGUCAGUGCACUUGCCAGUUUGCCAAGAACAGGCCGUAUUCACUUUCAGAAGUGUUCAGGUUUGGAUAGUAAAUUGCAGGGCCAUCCUAUCUAUAAGGGACUCUAAGAAGCAUGGUUCUGCUGGAGCAAACAGCAGCUGGACAAGAUGAGGCUACAUAGACACUAGGCCCAAAGGCUAAGUGAAGUAUGUUUUUCAAGACAAUGAGGAAGCUAUUGAAGGAUUUGAAACUGGGUGGUAGCUUGAUGGGACUGGCAAAUUGAAAGUUUUUACUUUAGGUAUAAAUCCCAAAGAAGGAUUAGAUGUGGGUUGAAGUAGAUACAGUAUUCCUAAUUAAGUCAGGAGUCUUUGGCAGAUAAGAGAGGUUAGAAAUGACAUGAUAGACUAGGAUAGUGUAAUGGAGGUGGAGAGAAGUAGAAUUGGGAAGGGUAACAAAACUUGAUGGGAUUGGAUUCAGGCAGGGUUAGGAGGAGGAGGGAUGUUAGUCAUUUGCAGCUGAAUGACAUUCACUUAUAUAGUAAUGUAUUUGGAGAUGUAUAGAUAGGGAGAUCAUUACGUUUGGUUUAAGACAGAAUUGGGCCGGGUGUGAUGGCUCAUCCCAGCACUUUGGGAGGCCAAAGCGGGUGGAUCACAAGGUCAGGAGAUCGAGACCAUCCUGGCCAACACGUUGAAACCCUAU
This 5176-nucleotide long non-coding RNA is filed under the name Homo sapiens (human). RNAcentral describes it as "non-protein coding LINC02062:23". The record is from RNAcentral. Lineage: Eukaryota; Metazoa; Chordata; Mammalia; Primates; Hominidae.